GUAUUUACAUGAUAGAAUCAGAAUCCUCUGCUCAGGUUGGUGUAUUUACAUGAUAGAAUCAGAAUCCUCUGGUCAGGUUGGUGUAUUUACAUGAUAGAAUCAGAAUCCUCUGCUCAGGUUGGUGUAUUUACAUGAUAGAAUCAGAAUCCUCUGGUCAGGUUGGUGUAUUUACAUGAUAGAAUCAGAAUCCUCUGGUCAGGUUGGUGUAUUUACAUGAUAGAAUCAGAAUCCUCUGGUCAGGUUGGUGUAUUUACAUGAUAGAAUCAGAAUCCUCUGGUCAGGUUGGUGUAUUUACAUGAUAGAAUCAGAAUCCUCUGGUCAGGUUGGUGUAUUUACAUGAUAGAAUCAGAAUCCUCUGGUCAGGUUGGUAUAUUUACUCCUCCUCCGCAAGGGAUGAUUAGUCCAAGUCCCGAUGCCGCAUGCAUGAGGGGACAUUUAAUCACUAACUUCCCCGCAAUAGUUGAUUUACAUAGUUGCUCUACAAAUCUACAGUUAAGUAUUUGAGGCCAUUAGCACGCAUUUGUACAGCAAUCAAAAUCAUCCCACAUGGAUCUAGUCUAACGUUGUUUAGGUCUCGUGUAUUCCUGCGCUAAUCAGGAAGACAAGCAUCUUGGUUCUAAAUUUCUCUCAUGUACUGGUGUAGAGGGAAAUUUAGGAGG
Long non-coding RNA from Nematostella vectensis (starlet sea anemone), 659 nucleotides. RefSeq lists it as uncharacterized. NCBI's taxonomy places the organism in Eukaryota, Metazoa, Cnidaria, Anthozoa, Actiniaria, Edwardsiidae. The record is from RefSeq and is a predicted model, not a curated record. The transcript is spliced from 2 exons.